Molecule: ribosomal RNA, 264 nt
Filed under: uncultured archaeon
Lineage: Archaea
Description: partial 16S ribosomal RNA
Rfam family: Archaeal small subunit ribosomal RNA
Source: RNAcentral
AGACGUCUACAUUAGAUACCCGUGUAGUCCCAGCCGUAAACUAUGCGCGUUAGGUGUAUCGGUGACCACGAGUCACCGAGGUGCCAAAGGGAAACCGUGAAACGUGCCGCCUGGGAAGUACGGUCGCAAGGCUGAAACUUAAAGGAAUUGGCGGGGAGCACCACAACGGGUGGAGCCUGCGGUUUAAUUGGACUCAACGCCGGGAAGCUCACCGGAUAAGACAGCGGAAUGAUUGCCGGGCUGAAGACUCUGCAUGACUAGCUG